CUGCCAUCAGCCCAGCUUGUGAAACAUCACUUGUGAUGAAUUGUGGUAUGCAGGCCUUUUUAAGUAGCUGGCUGACUAAGUCCCCUGGAAUGGGGUAGCUGAGAGGGUGAGACUCCCGUUUGUCAGCUAGCGUAAGAAGUUGCCAAUGAGUCGAGUUGUUUGGGAUUGCAGCUCUAAGUGGGUGGUAACUUCCAUCCAAGGUUAAAUAUUGGUGAGAGACCGAUAGCGUACAAGUACCGUGAGGGAAAGAUGCAAAGCCGCGCGAAAGCGCUGUCAAAGAGUACCUAAAAUUGCUGAAAAGGAAGCGAAGGAAACUAGUGUAAGCUGCUCCGCAUUUCCUCGUCCGCUUGCGGUCGGGGC
This 360-nucleotide ribosomal RNA is filed under the name Cymatopleura elliptica. RNAcentral describes it as "eukaryotic LSU rRNA". It matches the Rfam family "Eukaryotic large subunit ribosomal RNA", at positions 98 to 474 of the family's 3401-position model. The record is from RNAcentral. Lineage: Eukaryota; Bacillariophyta; Bacillariophyceae; Surirellales; Surirellaceae.